GUAAUUUUCUCUCCUCCGCUCACCUUGGUUUCCUUCCAUCCUUUCUCCUUUUUUUUUCGUACCUUCGGUAAUCCUCCCCCUUAUCGUAAUGGCGUCUGUCUGCGGUUUUUUCUACAUUUGCUCGAUUAUUUCAUUUCUGCCCUUUUUUUUGGAUUCUUGGAAGAUUGCUGUCGAUUAAGUCAUUAAUGUUAAUCGCGAGUGUGGUUUUUUAUUACAUUUGUUUCACAUAAGUUAUAUAAGAUUUUAUAUAAAUGAAAAUAUGUAACGCGAACGGAACGCUGAUUUUCCUUUCCGUUGUAAUUAAAGCGUUUGAAAACAACAUGUUGUGAAUAUUAUGAAAUGAAUAUUUCAGGAGUGGCUUCGAUAACGUUACCUACCUCUCGUUGUUCUUCAUAUAUAUUUUCCGAUUAUAGAUAUUUGAAAUUUAAAAUCUUCGGCUUUGUCAUAUAAUUUCUGAUUUCUGCAUCUUUGUAUCUUACAUUUUUCCUACCAUGUGCGGAUCGCAUAGACUUUAAUUGCCAUGUUUUAUUCGGCGAAAAUCCGAUCCCGAGAGACCCGAAAGUGAAUAAUGCAGUGCGAGCUCUUCGGCCUGCGUCGAGACUGCUUCACGUCGUUAACGACCUCGGAGACCGUUUAAGAGUCUCUUACGGUGAUUUAAAACGUCUGUCUCCUUUGUACAUCGUCGAAAAAAUUCGCUGUUAAUCCGCUGCGCGUGGACGUUUUUUUGCGACUCAAAACGACGCCGUCAUCGACAUCUUGAAUCGUGAACGACUCGCGUUGAAACGAGGUGAAAUUUCUUCACGAGAGUGAAAGGCGUCAGGAAACGUUGUUAGUAAUGGCGGCGAUUGCAUAACACGAAGGCGUGCGUAAGCCUUUGUUGGAAAGAUUCUCACUGCACGCGAUGUAAUUACACAUCUCAUAUAGACGUAAUUUCAUAUGUCACGGUGAUCCUACCACUCUGGAAGAGCCGAAUGUCUCUGGGCUUGAGUCUACAGGAUAA
Molecule: long non-coding RNA, 1000 nt
Organism: Camponotus floridanus (Florida carpenter ant)
Lineage: Eukaryota; Metazoa; Arthropoda; Insecta; Hymenoptera; Formicidae
Exons: 2
Source: RefSeq, a predicted model, not a curated record